UACGUAGGCAGCAAGCGUUGUUCGGAGUUACUGGGCGUAAAGGGUGCGUAGGCGGCUCUAUAAGUAUGGUGUGAAAUCUCCCGGCUUAACUGGGAGGGUGCGCUAUAGACUGUGGGGCUAGAGUGCGGGAGAGGAAAGUGGAAUUCCUGGUGUAGCGGUGAAAUGCGCAGAUAGUCAGGAGGAACACCGGUGGCGAAGGCGGAUCUCUGGGCCGAUACUGACGCUGAGGAGCGAAAGCGUGGGGAGCGAACAGG
RNAcentral lists this ribosomal RNA (254 nucleotides) under uncultured bacterium. Its description in RNAcentral is "partial 16S ribosomal RNA". It matches the Rfam family "Bacterial small subunit ribosomal RNA", at positions 524 to 776 of the family's 1533-position model. The record is from RNAcentral.